This 691-nucleotide ribosomal RNA is filed under the name Halobacillus sp. YIM 94173. RNAcentral describes it as "bacterial SSU rRNA". It matches the Rfam family "Bacterial small subunit ribosomal RNA", at positions 57 to 726 of the family's 1533-position model. The record is from RNAcentral. Lineage: Bacteria; Bacillati; Bacillota; Bacilli; Caryophanales; Bacillaceae.
GCGGGAAGCGAGCGGAUCCCUUCGGGGUGAAGCUCGUGGAACGAGCGGCGGACGGGUGAGUAACACGUGGGCAACCUGCCUGUAAGACCGGAAUAACCCCGGGAAACCGGGGCUAAUGCCGGGUAAUACUUUUCUUCGCAUGAAGGAAAGUUGAAAGAUGGCUUCUCGCUAUCACUUACAGAUGGGCCCGCGGCGCAUUAGCUAGUUGGUGAGGUAACGGCUCACCAAGGCGACGAUGCGUAGCCGACCUGAGAGGGUGAUCGGCCACACUGGGACUGAGACACGGCCCAGACUCCUACGGGAGGCAGCAGUAGGGAAUCUUCCGCAAUGGACGAAAGUCUGACGGAGCAACGCCGCGUGAACGAUGAAGGUCUUCGGAUCGUAAAGUUCUGUUGUUAGGGAAGAACAAGUACCGUGCGAAUAGAGCGGUACCUUGACGGUACCUAACGAGGAAGCCCCGGCUAACUACGUGCCAGCAGCCGCGGUAAUACGUAGGGGGCAAGCGUUGUCCGGAAUUAUUGGGCGUAAAGCGCGCGCAGGCGGUUCCUUAAGUCUGAUGUGAAAGCCCACGGCUCAACCGUGGAGGGUCAUUGGAAACUGGGGAACUUGAGGACAGAAGAGGAGAGUGGAAUUCCACGUGUAGCGGUGAAAUGCGUAGAUAUGUGGAGGAACACCAGUGGCGAAGGCGACU